GAGCUGUAAGCCUUGCUGCAAAACCAUGAACAACGUUUUUAUAAACAUAGAUCAUCUCUGCUGAUUCAGAGACGGAUUUGAGGGACGCGUCAUACCAGUGAGUAUGAUCAUCAAAUAUUGCUGGCAUUUGUGAUUUAGCCAUGUGAAUGAUGUAUGUUUUCUUCUCCACCAUUGCCACAGACAUGUGACAUAGGCACACAAGUACAACAACUAGUAGUGUGUAUGUAGACAUUUUUGAUUAAUUUUUCGCUUGGAC
Molecule: unclassified non-coding RNA, 256 nt
Filed under: Hevea brasiliensis (rubber tree)
Lineage: Eukaryota; Viridiplantae; Streptophyta; Magnoliopsida; Malpighiales; Euphorbiaceae
Source: RNAcentral